This is a long non-coding RNA of Oreochromis aureus, 564 nucleotides long. Lineage: Eukaryota; Metazoa; Chordata; Actinopteri; Cichliformes; Cichlidae. The record is from Ensembl.
GUUUCUUUGUUAUCAUUUGAACUUUGGUCCCCAGUAUGACGACAUCGCAGCUCAUCGAGGAGAGCAGGACCUGAACUACCAAAGACUCCACGUCUACAAGAAUGAAUCAGAUUCUCUCUACUCCACGAUUCCUCCAUCUCAGCCCCGAGAACAACAUCAUAUCCACUACAAUCCUGAAUCAAAGAGGACUUGCAGACAGUCUCCAAGAAGAACCUCAGACAACAAAGAGCAGAUGAACCCUGAAAGUAUCUCAGCUCAGUCAGCACAGCAGGAUGAUCAUCACUACAGCAGACUGCACUUCAGUGAGAAGCACACAGCUGAUCUCUACUCCACCAUCGAGCCACUGCCUGCUCACUAAAGAAGAGUUCGUUACCAUGCAUACAGGAAGCAGUCCAUUCCGGUCCAGCGCGCCUCCCGCUCAACUCUGCCGUCACUAUAUAGACAAACAGAAAGGAAACACUGUCAUCAACAAUCGCCACCACCUGUGGCUCACCUGCCUCCCAGUAAAUAUAAAGAAACUGUGUAAGAAAGUAUGCAUCCUGUUUGUUGUGUUGUACAGCCCAC